UAGGGAAUCUUCGGCAAUGGACGAAAGUCUGACCGAGCAACGCCGCGUGAGUGAAGAAGGUUUUCGGAUCGUAAAACUCUGUUGUUAGAGAAGAACAAGGACGUUAGUAACUGAACGUCCCCUGACGGUAUCUAACCAGAAAGCCACGGCUAACUACGUGCCAGCAGCCGCGGUAAUACGUAGGUGGCAAGCGUUGUCCGGAUUUAUUGGGCGUAAAGCGAGCGCAGGCGGUUUCUUAAGUCUGAUGUGAAAGCCCCCGGCUCAACCGGGGAGGGUCAUUGGAAACUGGGAGACUUGAGUGCAGAAGAGGUGAGUGGAAUUCCAUGUGUAGCGGUGAAAUGCGUAGAUAUAUGGAGGAACACCAGUGGCGAAGGCGGCUCUCUGGUCUGUAACUGACGCUGAGGCUCGAAAGCGUGGGGAGCAAACAGG
This 429-nucleotide ribosomal RNA is filed under the name Chloroflexota bacterium. Its description in RNAcentral is "Chloroflexi bacterium partial 16S ribosomal RNA". It matches the Rfam family "Bacterial small subunit ribosomal RNA", at positions 355 to 776 of the family's 1533-position model. Lineage: Bacteria; Bacillati; Chloroflexota. The record is from RNAcentral. RNAcentral also lists the same sequence under 1 other name.